AACGAACGCUAGCGGCGUGCCUAACACAUGCAAGUCGAACGAGAAAGGGGGCAACCCUGAGUAAAGUGGCGCACGGGUGAGUAACACGUGGGUAACGUACCCUCGGGUGGGGAAUAACGAGCCGAAAGGUUCGCUAAUACCGCAUAAGACCACGACCUCUUCGGAGGAUGAGGUCAAAGGGGGCUGUCGCAAGGCAGCUCUCGCCUGAGGAUCGGCUCGCGGACCAUUAGCUAGAUGGCGGGGUAAUGGCCCACCAUGGCUACGAUGGUUAGCUGGUCUGAGAGGACGACCAGCCACACUGGAACUGACACACGGUCCAGACUCCUACGGGUGGCUG
Molecule: ribosomal RNA, 337 nt
Filed under: uncultured Pseudomonadota bacterium
Lineage: Bacteria; Pseudomonadati; Pseudomonadota
Description: bacterial SSU rRNA
Rfam family: Bacterial small subunit ribosomal RNA
Source: RNAcentral